CACUGUUUCACCACUGGCUCUU
RNAcentral lists this microRNA (22 nucleotides) under Homo sapiens (human). RNAcentral's name for it is "hsa-miR-4676-3p". Lineage: Eukaryota; Metazoa; Chordata; Mammalia; Primates; Hominidae. The record is from miRBase by way of RNAcentral.